This 71-nucleotide transfer RNA is filed under the name Nothocercus julius. Its description in RNAcentral is "tRNA-Val". The record is from RNAcentral. Lineage: Eukaryota; Metazoa; Chordata; Aves; Tinamiformes; Tinamidae.
CAGGACGUAGCUAUAAACCAAAAGCAUUCAGCUUACACCUGAAAGAUGUCUCAUAACUGAGGCCGACCUGA